GGAGGAAAAGAACUAACAAGGAUUCCCCUAGUAACUGCGAGUGAAGCGGGAAAAGCUCAAAUUUAAAAUCUGAUAGUCUUUGGCUGUCCGAGUUGUAAUCUAGAGAAGUGCUGCCCGCGCUGGACCGUGUACAAGUCUCCUGGGAUGGAGCGUCAUAGAGGGUGAGAAUCCCGUCUCUGACACGGACUACCAGGGCUUUGUGGUACGCUCUCAAAGAGUCGAGUUGUUUGGGAAUGCAGCUCAAAAUGGGUGGUAAAUUCCAUCUAAAGCUAAAUAUUGGCGAGAGACCGAUAGCGAACAAGUACCGUGAGGGAAAGAUGAAAAGAACUUUGGAAAGAGAGUUAAACAGUACGUGAAAUUGCUGAAAGGGAAACGCUUGAAGUCAGUCACGUUGGCCGGGGAUCAGCCUCGCUCUUUUGCGUGGUGUACUUCCUGGUUGACGGGUCAGCAUCAAUUUUGACCGCUGGAAAAAGACUUGAGGAAUGUGGCAGCUCCGGCUGUGUUAUAGCUUCUUGUCAUAUACAGUGGUUGGGAUUGAGGAACUCAGCACGCCGCAAGGCCGGGUUUCGACCACGUUCGUGCUUAGGAUGCUGGCAUAAUGGCUUUA
This 607-nucleotide ribosomal RNA is filed under the name Leucocoprinus cf. phaeosticta PA252. RNAcentral's name for it is "eukaryotic LSU rRNA". It matches the Rfam family "Eukaryotic large subunit ribosomal RNA", at positions 52 to 642 of the family's 3401-position model. Lineage: Eukaryota; Fungi; Basidiomycota; Agaricomycetes; Agaricales; Agaricaceae. The record is from RNAcentral.